GGGGAUGUGGUCCAAUGGUAAGAUCCUCGACCACUAGUCGAGGGAUGUGAGUUCGAUUCUCACCUUCUCCA
RNAcentral lists this transfer RNA (71 nucleotides) under Pseudocercospora pini-densiflorae CBS 125139. Its description in RNAcentral is "tRNA-Ser (ACT) (tRNA-Ser-ACT-1-1)". It matches the Rfam family "tRNA". Rfam says of the family: Transfer RNA (tRNA) molecules are approximately 80 nucleotides in length. Their secondary structure includes four short double-helical elements and three loops (D, anti-codon, and T loops). Lineage: Eukaryota; Fungi; Ascomycota; Dothideomycetes; Mycosphaerellales; Mycosphaerellaceae. The record is from RNAcentral.